CUGCGAACGGCUCAUUAAAUCAGUUAUCGUUUAUUUGAUAGUACCUUUACCUACUUGGAUAACCGUGGUAAUUCUAGAGCUAAUACAUGCUAAAAGUCCCGACCUCUGGAAGGGACGUAUUUAUUAGAUAAAAAACCAAUGCCCUUCGGGGCUUCUUGGUGAUUCAUGAUAACUUUACGAAUCGCAUGGCCUUGUGCCGGCGAUGGUUCAUUCAAAUUUCUGCCCUAUCAACUUUCGAUGGUAGGAUAGUGGCCUACCAUGGUUUCAACGGGUAACGGGGAAUUAGGGUUCGAUUCCGGAGAGGGAGCCUGAGAAACGGCUACCACAUCCAAGGAAGGCAGCAGGCGCGCAAAUUACCCAAUCCCGACACGGGGAGGUAGUGACAAGAAAUACUGAUACAGGGCCCAUCUGGGUCUUGUAAUUGGAAUGAGUACAAUUUAAAGCCUUUAACGAGGAACAAUUGGAGGGCAAGUCUGGUGCCAGCAGCCGCGGUAAUUCCAGCUCCAAUAGCGUAUAUUAAAGUUGUUGCAGUUAAAAAGCUCGUAGUUGAACUUUGGGUCUGGGUGACUGGUCCCCCGAUUGGGUGUGUACUGGAAACCCGGAUCUUUCCUUCUGGAGAACCUCAUGCCCUUCACUGGGUGUGCUGGGGAACUAGGACUUUUACUUUGAAAAAAUUAGAGUGUUCAAAGCAGGCUUUUGCUCGAAUACAUUAGCAUGGAAUAAUAAAAUAGGACGUGCGGUUCUAUUUUGUUGGUUUCUAGGACCGCCGUAAUGAUUAAUAGGGAUAGUCGGGGGCAUCCGUAUUCGAUUGUCAGAGGUGAAAUUCUUGGAUUUUUCGAAGACGAACUACUGCGAAAGCAUUUGCCAAGGAUGUUUUCAUUAAUCAGGAACGAAAGUUGAGGGAUCGAAGACGAUCAGAUACCGUCGUAGUCUCAACCAUAAACUAUGCCGACUAGGAAUCGGGCGAUGUUUUCAAUUUGACUCGCUCGGCACCUUACGAGAAAUCAAAGUUUUUGGGUUCUGGGGGGAGUAUGGUCGCAAGGCUGAAACUUAAAGGAAUUGACGGAAGGGCACCACCAGGAGUGGAGCCUGCGGCUUAAUUUGACUCAACACGGGGAAACUCACCAGGUCCAGACACAUUAAGGAUUGACAGAUUGAGAGCUCUUUCUUGAUUAUGUGGGUGGUGGUGCAUGGCCGUUCUUAGUUGGUGGAGUGAUUUGUCUGCUUAAUUGCGAUAACGAACGAGACCUUAACCUGCUAAAUAGCCGGGCUCGCUUUUGCGAGAUUCU
Molecule: ribosomal RNA, 1289 nt
Filed under: Octospora axillaris
Lineage: Eukaryota; Fungi; Ascomycota; Pezizomycetes; Pezizales; Pyronemataceae
Description: SSU rRNA
Rfam family: Eukaryotic small subunit ribosomal RNA
Source: RNAcentral